Molecule: ribosomal RNA, 216 nt
Filed under: uncultured bacterium
Lineage: Bacteria
Description: partial 16S ribosomal RNA
Rfam family: Bacterial small subunit ribosomal RNA
Source: RNAcentral
GCUUGGGAAUCUGGCUUAUGGAGGGGGAUAACUACGGGAAACUGUAGCUAAUACCGCGUAGUAUCGAGAGAUGAAAGUGCGGGACCGCAAGGCCGCAUGCCAUGAGAUGAGCCCAAGUGGGAUUAGGUAGUUGGUGGGGUAAAGGCCUACCAAGCCUGCGAUCUCUAGCUGGUCUGAGAGGAUGGCCAGCCACACUGGAACUGAGGCACGGUCCAG